UUAAUUUUUCACACUGACAACCAAAAACUUAAAAAGGAAGUUAAUUGUUGUCAAAUACCGAAAAAAAGAUUUUUCAUUAAAAUUCUCCUAAACCAAAUUUCUUGUUUGUCUAACAUAUUUUUUUUAACUCUGUUCCCUUAACAAUCAUUUUUUUAAUUGACGGAGGACUAAAAAUAAAUUUUAGCGUUAAUUUGAUUUUGCGGAUGUUGGAAAUACUUAACUUUGGCAAUUUUUGGCAAAAUCGCCCUAAUUUCUACUCUUAGGGUAGCAAUAAGAAUCUAGAAAUCAAUUCUUGUGCAUUCAAAGUUUCUAACUGAGCUGGGGAUAGCCUGAUUUUGAAGUUUCUUCUCCACAGCAUUUGUCAGGACAGUGUCGUUACAAAAAACAUGAACCAUGCAUAAACUAACACGACUGGCUAUGAAUGUUUUCUCCGCUGACAACGACAACAACAACAACAACAAGACUUGCUCUUUAUGUUUACUGUAAUGUAACUCUUUUUAGGUUUCUUUCACGAGCAAAGUCGUCCUGACCGAGAUAACUACGUGAAAAUUUUGUUACAUAACAUAGAUAGUCGGUUUGCAUACAAUUUCAAAAAACAGAACUAUUCAGACAUCGACUCGAAAGGAACGCCUUACGACUACCGCUCAAUGAUGCACUACAGAUACAACGCUUUUGGGAAAGAUUUGAAGAUGACAAUUAAAACAUUGGAUCCAUCGAAGCAAUACGAAAUUGGACAAGAUAGCGGAUUUUCUCACAUUGAUAUUAAACAAAUCAACCGAUUGUACAGCUGUAGUAAGUUAAUGCGCACAGCACGAAUAAUUUUUAUCUCGAGAUCCUUUUUUCUGUUUAGGAGCUUUAAACUGCAAUUUAAGGUUCCCAUUUUUAUUUUUAACAAAAUUGACCCACCCCUCGUCAACAUUUAACAGACGCAUCCACAAUUUAACGUAUUUGUCAAACUCUUGACAUGCUCGUCCAACUCUUAACACAACCGUCUAACUCUCCACAUUUGCGCAUCCAUCUUUUAAUCUAUUUCACCAAACUUUGUCACACUCGCCCAACUCUGGAAACACUCGUCUAACUCUUAAAAUGUAUGCACAUAGAAGACAGGAGUGAGUCAAUGUUCUUUAUAUAUUUAGAAGGUACAUAUCCAACGCUUCCGCCCUACAUUUCACCGCCUCCAGGUAAGACGUCAGAUUCACUUUAAAUGUUAAGCAGCUUAGACGGUCAACAAAUUUCCUGAGAAGUUACUUGAAAUUGACCAUUCCUCAACAAACGUUAUGGCUUAAUCUGUCUUUCCAGUUUACGUUAGUACAGUAAGUUCAACAUUGUAUAGGUUGUGUUGAAACUGGGCCAUCCUGUCAUAAAGAUAAACAUGAAGGAUUGUGUACAAAAAAAUACUUUGUCAGCUACAUGCGCAAGAAAUGUCCAAGAGUGUGUGGGUAUUGUGGCGUAACAAAAGCAACAACGACUGCAGCUGUCAAGACCUCAACCACUUCCACCACCCCCACAGCACACAUCGUCAUUACAAAAUCAACAUCAACUGUAACUACCAGGAGAGGUAACUGUCUGUCGCCUAAACUAGUAGCCUAAACUGUUCGUGUAAAAAAUGCACGAAAUGUACUUUCCAAAUUUUGAUAAAAGACAAAUUAGUUUUAACUUGUUUAUACUAUUUUUCAUUUUGAGCAAAAAUUUAUUUAAUGUCAACACCUCUAGGUUGUUAUUCAGGAAUGAUACUAAAUCGUUCUCUUGUAAAAAUAUUUUUAGGGAGCACAGGAGGAGCGUCAUGUGCUGAUGUCAUUGUUAACUGUAAACAAUUGGGUCUCCAUCAUUGUGCCGAAAAACAUUGGAUAGAGUUUAUGAAAAAAAGAUGCAAGAAGUCGUGUAGUUUUUGUUAAGUUAUAAACGAAAGAAUAUGUAGAACUGAAAAAUGUGUGAUCAUGCUUUAUACAAAGGAAA
Long non-coding RNA from Hydractinia symbiolongicarpus, 1956 nucleotides. RefSeq lists it as uncharacterized. Lineage: Eukaryota; Metazoa; Cnidaria; Hydrozoa; Anthoathecata; Hydractiniidae. The transcript has 2 exons. The record is from RefSeq and is a predicted model, not a curated record.